AACCAUAGACUUAGUAUAUACUGGCGUAUAGACCAACAAAGCGAGCGAGGGAGAAGAAAAUCCCUUACGGAAAUUUGGCAAGAUAGAAAAGGAUAGCGAAUCCAAUGAAACUGUGACUGGUUUUGAAUGACAGGUCAUCACAAGUCGGCACGCGGAGAAACAACCCUUUAGUAUUUUGGAUUUUUUGCGUACAUCGUGGUUUAUUUUCAGUAAAUCUAAUUGUAUUCAACAAUGGUUACAUGUUCUGUGAGUAAUUGUGGUGUUAAUAAUAGAAAUAAUCCUGAAAAUUGCACAUUUCACAGAUUCCCUCUAGAUACUAUACUAAGAGGAAAAUGGUUGAGAUUAAUUGGGCGCGUUGGUUGGAAUCCAAAGAAGAACUCUACCAUUUGCAGCAAACAUUUCCCGGACGAAUAUAAAAGAAAAAGACGAAUAAAUACAGUUUUAGUUAAAGGAGCCAUUCCAACUUUAUUUGUACCAGGACAUAUAAAAGAGAG
Molecule: long non-coding RNA, 494 nt
Organism: Pieris napi
Lineage: Eukaryota; Metazoa; Arthropoda; Insecta; Lepidoptera; Pieridae
Exons: 3
Source: RefSeq, a predicted model, not a curated record